This 1613-nucleotide non-coding RNA is filed under the name Pongo abelii (Sumatran orangutan). Lineage: Eukaryota; Metazoa; Chordata; Mammalia; Primates; Hominidae. The record is from RNAcentral.
GGGAGGAAAGCCCUCGGUCCCCUCGGCUCCGGGGGCGCCCAGCUGGGCCCAGCUCCGCGGACGCGCCCCCGUCACCCCCUCCCAGGCCAGUUCAGGGCAGCGCCAAGGGGGCGCGGGCUCAGGCUGAGGCCUCCUCCUGCCUAGGCGUCUGGCGUCCGUUUGUCUGUCCGAGGCCUCAGCGCAGGUAAAGCGUGGGGCUGGGGGGCGCAGAGCUCCAUUGGGCUGGGAACCAGCGCGUCUCGUGCCCUUGGGGGACCCGCCUGCCCGAGCCGCCUGCUGAGCCUCCCGCUCCCCUCCACGCUGGAGCGCGCGGAGCCCAGUCUGCUCGGAACUCCACUCUACGGGAGCGGAGGCCGGCGCCAGCCCGGGAAGGCGAGCAGGGGGCGGGAGGCCGAGCGCGAGGCCCUUGGCGCCGGGCCUCCGCGGCCAGGCCGGGCAGGUGAGCAGUCUCCGUGCCUCUCCGUUCGCGCUCCCCUCAACGCGUGCGGUCCCGCCGGGGCCCACUGUCUCUCCGUCCGUCUGUCUCUCGACUUCUCCCAUCCUUUAGCUUACGAUUCUUCAUCAACUCGUAAAAUGAGAUCGCCGCGGAGCUCGAGCCUAUUUGGCGUCUCCGGAGACUAGCAAGACCCUCUGAAAGACACCGCGUCCCCAGGGAUAAUCGCCCGUGUCCGGCAAAGCUGCCCCGCUCGAGCGCGAACCCUGGGACCCAGCGCGGGAGGCAGACCAGCAGCUGGCGGCUGGGCUGUGAACGCCAGGACCGAGCGGAAGCUUCCAGCCCGGCCGCGAUCGGUGCCGCGGCUCUCAGGGAAAUGGCUACGCGCGGCCCUCGGGAAAGCAGAGUAAUUUGGCUGUUUCUGGCAAAUCUGAAGAUUGGAAUGCCACACGGCCCAGCCAUUCCUCUUCCAGGCAUAUGAGAAGCCCUCACACAUGAGCAAGAAAGGGAUGUGGCCAAAGACAUUCAUGGAGCCCUAUUUGUUAAAACAGAAAAAAAGAAAUUAAGAAAUACCCAGCCUGGGCAACAUAGGGAGACCCUGUCUCCACUAAAAAUAAAAAUUUAAAAAACUAGCCGGGCAUGGUGAUACACACCUGUGGUCCCAGCUACUUGGGAGGCUAAGGCGGGAGGAUCACUUGAGCUCAGAAGAUCGAAGCUUGCAAUCAGCUGUGAUCGUGUCACUGCAUGCCAGCCUGGGUGACAGAGAGUGAGACCCUGUAUCAAUAAAGAAAGAAAGAAAAGAAACAGAAAUAAACUUAGGACACAGCAGACGGCCCAUCCUGAGGGUACCAGAUAGCAGAUGCUGGGACCUUUUUCAGGUGGACGCCACAUGACCUUUCCUUUGCAGGCAUCCAAGCUGAUGUUCACAAGGCACACAGCAUUUCAGCUGAAGAAAGAACUGGCAGGAUUUUCAUCACGAAAGGGCACUAUCUAUCGUUUAUGAAAAUGAAGCAUAUGAAGUAAAAGUUUGGAAACAGAUGGAAUUAAAUCUUCUGACAGAUUUUAAAAUAAGAUCUAAAAAAGAGCAAGACAUGCUCUUGGAUGGGGAAACAAUACCAGAAAAAUGUCCAUUUUCGCAUUUUUUCCAUAUAAAUUUAAUGUAAUUCAAAUUUCAUUACCA